This 169-nucleotide long non-coding RNA is filed under the name Callithrix jacchus (white-tufted-ear marmoset). RNAcentral describes it as "lncRNA (ENSCJAG00000079593.1)". Lineage: Eukaryota; Metazoa; Chordata; Mammalia; Primates; Cebidae. The record is from RNAcentral.
UCAGACUCAUCACUCAUUAUCUUCAACCACAUGAGAAACCCAGAGCGAGAACCACCCAGCCAAGGCCAAUCUCUAGAACUUCAAAAGCUUUCGGAUCAUCAACUGACAUAGGGGAAGAAGACUUCCAUAGGAUGCUCAACCACCACCCAAGAUCAUGAAUAGAUGGAAA